This 433-nucleotide ribosomal RNA is filed under the name uncultured bacterium. Its description in RNAcentral is "partial 16S ribosomal RNA". It matches the Rfam family "Bacterial small subunit ribosomal RNA", at positions 29 to 507 of the family's 1533-position model. The record is from RNAcentral.
AACGAACGCUGGCGGCAUGCCUAACACAUGCAAGUCGAACGAGACCUUCGGGUCUAGUGGCGCACGGGUGCGUAACGCGUGGGAACCUGCCCUUAGGUUCGGAAUAACUCCCCGAAAGGGGUGCUAAUACCGGAUAAUGUCUUCGGACCAAAGUUUUAUCGCCUUUGGAUGGGCCCGCGUUGGAUUAGCUAGUUGGUAGGGUAAAAGCCUACCAAGGCGACGAUCCAUAGCUGGUCUGAGAGGAUGAUCAGCCACACUGGGACUGGGACACGGCCCAGACUCCUACGGGAGGCAGCAGUGGGGAAUAUUGGACAAUGGGCGAAGGCCUGAUCCAGCAAUGCCGCGUGAGUGAUGAAGGCCUUAGGGUUGUAAAGCUCUUUUACCCGGGAUGAUAAUGACAGUACCGGGAGAAUAAGCUCCGGCUAACUCCGUG